Molecule: non-coding RNA, 77 nt
Organism: Potamilus streckersoni
Lineage: Eukaryota; Metazoa; Mollusca; Bivalvia; Unionida; Unionidae
Source: the annotation of a GenBank genome assembly
GACCGCUACGGUGGCUUAAUGGUUAGAACGUCCGCUUCAUCUGCGGAAGGUCGCGAGUUCGAACCCCGGCCAAGUCA